This 62-nucleotide transfer RNA is filed under the name Bragasellus peltatus. RNAcentral's name for it is "transfert RNA-Y(TAC)". It matches the Rfam family "tRNA". Rfam says of the family: Transfer RNA (tRNA) molecules are approximately 80 nucleotides in length. Their secondary structure includes four short double-helical elements and three loops (D, anti-codon, and T loops). Further hydrogen bonds mediate the characteristic L-shaped molecular structure. tRNAs have two regions of fundamental functional importance: the anti-codon, which is responsible for specific mRNA codon recognition, and the 3' end, to which the tRNAs corresponding amino acid is attached (by aminoacyl-tRNA synthetases). tRNAs cope with the degeneracy of the genetic code in two manners: having more than one tRNA (with a specific anti-codon) for a particular amino acid; and 'wobble' base-pairing, i.e. permitting non-standard base-pairing at the 3rd anti-codon position. Lineage: Eukaryota; Metazoa; Arthropoda; Malacostraca; Isopoda; Asellidae. The record is from RNAcentral.
AGUUGUAUGGCUGAAUAAAAGCGUUAAAUUGUAAAUUUAAUUAUAGGUUUACCCUUAUAACU